RNAcentral lists this ribosomal RNA (588 nucleotides) under Bifidobacterium scardovii. RNAcentral's name for it is "bacterial SSU rRNA". It matches the Rfam family "Bacterial small subunit ribosomal RNA", at positions 47 to 645 of the family's 1533-position model. Lineage: Bacteria; Bacillati; Actinomycetota; Actinomycetes; Bifidobacteriales; Bifidobacteriaceae. The record is from RNAcentral.
CUUAACACAUGCAAGUCGAACGGGAUCCGGCCAGCUUGCUGGUUGGUGAGAGUGGCGAACGGGUGAGUAAUGCGUGACCGACCUGCCCCAUGCUCCGGAAUAGCUCCUGGAAACGGGUGGUAAUGCCGGAUGGUCCAGCAUGCUGCAUGGCGUGUUGGGAAAGAUUUAUCGGCGUGGGAUGGGGUCGCGUCCUAUCAGCUUGACGGUGGGGUGAUGGCCUACCGUGGCUUCGACGGGUAGCCGGCCUGAGAGGGCGACCGGCCACAUUGGGACUGAGAUACGGCCCAGACUCCUACGGGAGGCAGCAGUGGGGAAUAUUGCACAAUGGGCGCAAGCCUGAUGCAGCGACGCCGCGUGAGGGAUGGAGGCCUUCGGGUUGUAAACCUCUUUUAGCAGGGAGCAAGGCUUCGGUUGAGUGUACCUGUUGAAUAAGCACCGGCUAACUACGUGCCAGCAGCCGCGGUAAUACGUAGGGUGCAAGCGUUAUCCGGAAUUAUUGGGCGUAAAGGGCUCGUAGGCGGUUCGUCGCGUCUGGUGUGAAAGUCCAUCGCUUAACGGUGGAUCUGCGCCGGGUACGGGCGGGCUGGA